This 251-nucleotide ribosomal RNA is filed under the name uncultured prokaryote. Its description in RNAcentral is "partial 16S rRNA". It matches the Rfam family "Bacterial small subunit ribosomal RNA", at positions 525 to 775 of the family's 1533-position model. The record is from RNAcentral.
ACGUAGGGGGCGAGCGUUGUCCGGAUUUAUUGGGCGUAAAGGGCGUGUAGGCGGUUUUUUAAGUCGGAUGUGAAAACUCUGGGCUCAACCCAGCGACUGCAUCCGAAACUGGAAAGCUUGAGGGCAGGAGAGGAAAGUGGAAUUCCAAGUGUAGCGGUGAAAUGCGUAGAUAUUUGGAAGAACACCAGUGGCGAAGGCGACUUUCUGGACUGUUCCUGACGCUGAGGCGCGAAAGCCAGGGGAGCGAACGG